This 253-nucleotide ribosomal RNA is filed under the name uncultured bacterium. RNAcentral describes it as "partial 16S ribosomal RNA". It matches the Rfam family "Bacterial small subunit ribosomal RNA", at positions 524 to 776 of the family's 1533-position model. The record is from RNAcentral.
UACGAAGGGGGCGAGCGUUGUUCGGAUUUACUGGGCGUAAAGGGCGCGCAGGCGGCUCAUUUUGUCAGGCGUGAAAGCCCCGGGCUUAACCUGGGAACUGCGGUUGAUACGGAUGGGCUAGAGUUCGGGAGAGGAGAGUGGAAUUCCCAGUGUAGAGGUGAAAUUCGUAGAUAUUGGGAAGAACACCGGUGGCGAAGGCGGCUCUCUGGACCGAGACUGACGCUGAGGCGCGAAAGCGUGGGGAGCAAACAGG